GAUCAUGGCUCAGGAUGAACGCUAGCGACAGGCUUAACACAUGCAAGUCGAGGGCAGCAUAAAAGUAGCAAUACUUGGUGGCGACCGGCGCACGGGUGAGUAACGCGUAUGCAACCUACCUAUCAGAGGGGAAUAACCCGGCGAAAGUCGGACUAAUACCGCAUAAAACAGGGGCACCGCAUGGUGAUAUUUGUUAAAGAAAUUCGCUGAUAGAUGGGCAUGCGUUCCAUUAGGUAGUUGGUGGGGUAACGGCUCACCAAGCCGACGAUGGAUAGGGGAACUGAGAGGUUGGUCCCCCACACUGGUACUGAGACACGGACCAGACUCCUACGGGAGGCAGCAGUGAGGAAUAUUGGUCAAUGGGCGGGAGCCUGAACCAGCCAAGUCGCGUGAAGGAAGAAGGAUCUAUGGUUCGUAAACUUCUUUUGCAGGGGAAUAAAGUGCAGGACGUGUCCUGUUUUGUAUGUACCCUGAGAGUAAGGAUCGGCUAACUCCGUGCCAGCCGCCGC
RNAcentral lists this ribosomal RNA (509 nucleotides) under uncultured bacterium. Its description in RNAcentral is "bacterial SSU rRNA". It matches the Rfam family "Bacterial small subunit ribosomal RNA", at positions 15 to 518 of the family's 1533-position model. The record is from RNAcentral.